RNAcentral lists this long non-coding RNA (1134 nucleotides) under Monodelphis domestica (gray short-tailed opossum). RNAcentral's name for it is "lncRNA (ENSMODG00000037531.1)". Lineage: Eukaryota; Metazoa; Chordata; Mammalia; Didelphimorphia; Didelphidae. The record is from RNAcentral.
CUACUGUUCUAAGGUUACACUUUUGGGUUGGUCCUUUCCCCCCAAACCCAACCCUGCUUUUGUGUAUGAAAGUCCAUUGCAAAUUUAAAAAAAUCAAGAAGCACAUUUAUCUAAACUGCAAACAAAAUUCAGAGAAAUUAGACGGAGAAGAUUGUACCAGCACAAACUCCGGAGUGAAUGAGCUCUUUAAAUGGGCAUGGAAAGAAGGCUCAGCUUCACCAUAAGAGUCGGCCUGAUCACACCCAAGGGCAAAUCUCCAAGGGAGACUCCAAAGCAAGCAGGAUGGAAAUCGAAGAACUGGCUUCCCUGGCGUCACUAGAGCUUCCCGAAUCUUUCCAUGGGCAGAUGCCUUCCAAAGAGUGUUUGGGACCGCGGGACCUCUGGUAGCAGCUCCAUCCUUCACACAGGUCUGUAGUGUCAAGGAGCCAUUCUCUGCCAAAUUGGAAUCGCAUCUCCAUGGACAACCGGGCACAUUCGGUACACUCCAGGCAUGCUUAAAAGUCCCCUUACAGGAGAUCGUCACGUGAUCUCUCACGUGAUCGGUGAGGAAACUGAGGCCCCGGCGAUUCUAGAUGGAGAUAGAAUUUGAACCCACAUUUGUUGCUGUUCAGUCAUUAUUAUGCCUGGUUCUUUGCAAAGCAUGCCAGGCUCUUCUCUCCUCUACUGUCUCUCAAAGUCUGUCCAGGUUCACAUUCGUUGUUUCCAUGACACUGUCUAUUCCUCUCAUCUCCUGCUGCCGUCAUCUGAUUCCUACUGCAUGGGGCUAUCGCAGAGGGACCGAAAUGUGGGCAUCCAUUAGUACCGGAAUGAUAAACUUCUGUUUACUUGAGAAAAAGCCAGAAAGGUCUACAUGAACUGCUGCAGAGUGAAAUAAGCAGAAUCAGGAGAACAUUAUACACAGUAACUGAAAUACUGUGGGUGAUCAAAUGUGACAGACUUUGCUACUAAUGGCAAUGCAAUGAUCCAGGACAACUCUGAAGACUUGUGAGAAAGAAUGCCAUCCACCUCCAGAGAAAGAACUGUUGUAGAAAUGCAGAUGAAAACAUGAUUUAUCACUUGUUUGUAUGGGUAUAUGAUUUGGGUUUUAUAAGAUUAUUCACUUACAAAAAUAAAUAAUAUGAAAAUAUGCUUUCA